GACGAACGCUGGCGGCGUGCUUAACACAUGCCAGUCGAACGGAAAGGCCCUGCUUUUGUGGGGUGCUCGAGUGGCGAACGGGUGAGUAACACGUGAGUAACCUGCCCUUGACUUUGGGAUAACUUCAGGCAACUGGGGCUAAUACCGGAUAGGAGCUCCUGCUGCAUGGUGGGGGUUGGAACGUUUCGGCGGUUGGGGAUGGACUGGCGGCUUAUCAGCUGGUUGGUGGGGUAGUGGCUUACCAAGGCUUUGACGGGUAGCCGGCCUGAGAGGGUGACCGGCGACAUUGGGACUGAGAGACGGCCCAGACUCCUACGGGAGGCAGCAGGGGGGAAUAUUGCACAAUGGGCGGAAGCCUGAUGCAGCAACGCCGCGUGCGGGAUGACGGCCUUCGGGUUGUAAACCGCUUUCGCCUGUGACGAAGCGGGAGUGACGGUAAUGGGUAAAGAAGCACCGGCUAACUACGUG
This 468-nucleotide ribosomal RNA is filed under the name uncultured bacterium. Its description in RNAcentral is "partial 16S ribosomal RNA". It matches the Rfam family "Bacterial small subunit ribosomal RNA", at positions 28 to 507 of the family's 1533-position model. The record is from RNAcentral.